AGCAGCAGCCACGGUAAUACGGAGGGUGCAAGCGUUGUUCGGAAUUACUGGGCGUAAAGCGCGCGUAGGCGGUUACUCAAGUCAGAGGUGAAAGCCCGGGGCUCAACCCCGGAACUGCCUUUGAAACUAGGUAACUAGAAUCUUGGAGAGGUCAGUGGAAUUCCGAGUGUAGAGGUGAAAUUCGUAGAUAUUCGGAAGAACACCAGUGGCGAAGGCGACUGACUGGACAAGUAUUGACGCUGAGGUGCGAAAGCGUGGGGAGCAAACAGGAUUAGAUACCCCGGUAGUCCCUGUCUCUUAUAC
Molecule: ribosomal RNA, 303 nt
Filed under: uncultured bacterium
Lineage: Bacteria
Description: partial 16S ribosomal RNA
Rfam family: Bacterial small subunit ribosomal RNA
Source: RNAcentral